Molecule: ribosomal RNA, 502 nt
Filed under: uncultured bacterium
Lineage: Bacteria
Description: partial 16S ribosomal RNA
Rfam family: Bacterial small subunit ribosomal RNA
Source: RNAcentral
AUUGAACGCUGGCGGCAGGCUAACACAUGCAAGUCGAGCGGGGUGAUGGUGCUUGCACUAUCACUUAGCGGCGGACGGGUGAGUAAUGCUUAGGAAUCUGCCUAUUAGUGGGGGACAACAUCUCGAAAGGGAUGCUAAUACCGCAUACGUCCUACGGGAGAAAGCAGGGGAUCACUUGUGACCUUGCGCUAAUAGAUGAGCCUAAGUCGGAUUAGCUAGUUGGUGGGGUAAAGGCCUACCAAGGCGACGAUCUGUAGCGGGUCUGAGAGGAUGAUCCGCCAGACUGGGACUGAGACACGGCCCAGACUCCUACGGGAGGCAGCAGUGGGGAAUAUUGGACAAUGGGGGGAACCCUGAUCCAGCCAUGCCGCGUGUGUGAAGAAGGCCUUAUGGUUGUAAAGCACUUUAAGCAAGGAGGAGGCUCUUUUGGUUAAUACCCAAGAUGAGUGGACGUUACUCGCAGAAUAAGCACCGGCUAACUCUGUGCCAGCCGCCGCCGUAA